GAGGGUAUCUGUUGUUGGAGUUUCCUGUGUGUUUCAUGUUUUCUGUUGUUUCAGGGAGGAGAUGUGGCCCUGGGGUUAGGAGCUGAGAGAAGAGAGUUCUGCCAGAACUCUGGGAUCAGCACAUCACAGCUUUGUAGAUGAAACACUGGCAAUCGCAGCAUGACCAAAAAAAGGGACAGCACUGGCAAUUCCCAAAGAUCCCUGCCAUGAAGGGUGUACCUCAGAGCUGGUUCAACAGGGUAAGAUGAGGAGAAGAAAUUGGGAUUGUUUCCUUUAGAAAGAACAGGCUACUCAGGGAGGUGGUGGAGUCCCCAUUCCUGAAAGCUUUCAAGAACUGUAGAGAUGUGGCAGUGAGGGGUGCAGGCAUGGUCGGGGUGCAUUGCGUUUGGAUUUGGAAAAGACCUCUCAGAUCCCCAACCUUAAUGACUCAGUGAUUCUAAACCACCCCCCACCAUCCAGGAAGAGCCAGGCAGUGCUGACCCAGCCUCAAAGCUAAGGACAGAACAAUCUCUCCAGAUCUUCUCAGCUGCCUACAUCACAACUGCUUCUAACCUGGUAGUGACACUGGAGAAAUUCAGAGCACCCUCUGUGUAAACACUCUUGAGGUUUAGAGUUUAGUCAACAGAAACCACCUGUUUUUGUGAGCCUCUCUGCCCAUAAACAUUCACCAGCCAUCCCCUUGGCAUCUCCCCUGACCUCCCAGGAGUCGCAAGAAGUGGGAGGAAAGACAUCAGCACGCAAUAAGCUGUUAUGAUCAGGACAAGAAGCAAUUGGUGCUUGGAACAGCUGUGAGAGCAGGAUCCUAAACCCAAAGCAGGGCUUGGGAUCCCCUGGGGAGCAGCCCCAAGCCAAGGUCCAACUCAACUCAAAUAGAACUGGGUCCCAAGACCACGUGUAGAAGUGUGCAGGGACAGCAGGUGAUGCUGGCUUAGGAGGAUGAGCUAUGCCUUCCCAGGCAAAGAGAAAAGAUAAAGAGCUUCCCAAUGCAGUCAUUUCUCUUCUGGGAUAACCAUAGAAAAUCUGCCAUCCAUUAUGAACCUUAACCAAUCUCAAAACUACAAACAUUCAUUUUGAUGGAAAUGGUAAAAAAAUAAAAUAAAAUAAAAAUUUCCUCUUCACUGCAGAAGUUGUUGCCCCAGCUUUCACUUCUUCAUUUAGAUGAGAGUCGAAUGGAACUUCUUACUGGAUGCUGAUGAAGAAGUUCCUAUUCUAACUGGAAAAGAGGAUAUUUCGAUGAAUUACACAGAAUUGCAGCUCAGCAAAAAGUAGAAAGCUUGUGUUAGAGUGUAUUUAAGGAAUUUAAUAUAAGGAAGUGAUCUAAAGGGAGAGUGAAGAAAUGACUUAUGGUUUUAAUUCGCCUGUGGUAGAAUACAUCUGUAUUCAUAUGACUUUCUAAUGUGGCAGAGAAAUCAAAAGCCAGUGUGGAGAGAGAAAGAGAGAAAGCACAACUUGAUUUCUCGUUGGGAGCACUUCCAAGUGAAGAUUUCAGAAUAGCUGCUGGGGGCACAGCAGGGCAGAAAACACAGCUUUACAAAUAAAAAUGCAAAAAAAGGUAGCUGAAGAUGAAGUGCCUUUUGUUGAUGUGAAGGCAAGUCGAAAAAGUUAUGGUCAAAUAUGCAGCACAAUUAAGUGUUGUAGCAGCAGAUGGGUGCAUAGGUGACCAGCCAGAUCUAUGGAAAGAGGAGAAGGCUGCCUUAGUGUUGACUGGCUUUAGGAAACCUUCCCCAGCUCUGCAUUGUUUGCCCAGAGGAAAAUGCCCACUGGUUGAUGAAAGUAGGAUGUAUUAACAGCCACAGGUCAAGGCAGAGGAAUAUCCUUGCACCUCUUCUGGGAGAUGCUGCCAGACUUCUGGACCCCUGUGCACUGCAGCUCUCCUGCCUUCACUGUGCUCCAGUAUGGGACAGAAGGAAACACAGAGCAAGGAAACCACAGGCAAGAAGAAUUGAAAGAAACUGCCAACACCACAAUCCUGUGCAAGUGCAGUGAAAGCCACGCGUUAUGCAACAUCCGUCUGGGAAGCAACACUUGUCAUUGAUAAAAAUUAUGCAAAGAAGUCCCGUGGCUGGAGGAAAAGGAAAAUGCAGAUCAGCCAAACGGCCUCGCCCUGCAGUGAGACGCUGCUGACCUUCUCAUACAUCGUUAUACAGAGAAAUCCAGCAAAGCUAAAUUCCUAAACCAACUCCUGCUGAUAUCUUUUUUAUUUGAAGCCUUGGGUGCUAUCAUCACACCCAGGAUCUUGUGCCAUGCCCUGCAGAGACCCACAACAGGUAUCUUUCUAUGGUCUUAAAUCCAACUCAUGGCUGUUCUCCCUCCUUCUUGAGUCCACUCUGAGCUGAAAACACUCAGUUCCACAGCCAGGGGCAUGGGGACCCAGGACUCAAGUAUCUCUUGCUCCUUGAAUAAAGUAAAUACACUUAAAGUAGAAGUACAUAUAAUAAUGGGAAAUGAAUGAAACACUUUGUGCAAGGAACAAGUGUUUAUAUAAGAAAGAAGAACCCUACUUCACAUAAAUAUAAAUACAUACACUCAACAAAUAGCAGGAUUCUAAGCACAAGGUACAGCAAAAUACUCAAGUCAGAAGCUGAUUUGCCAGCCCACAGGCAGCUCCUUGCCACAGUGUCAAACUUUGCUCUAUUCCACUACCACCAAGCAGCCCCCACAUUUUCCCCUAUGCUGCCCCACAUUUAGUGCUUUGCCUCUUACAGCUUGCACCUGGAGUCCCAACUUCAGCCCUGCAGUCAGGUGGAGCAAAAACCUGGGGCUGCUUCUCUGCAGCUUUGGCUCUGCAAGGACACAUGGACUCUGGUCCCCACAGUUACAUGCCCUAUAGCUCUUCUGCAUGAUUUGGCUGAGGCAGCAGCUCUCA
Long non-coding RNA from Tympanuchus pallidicinctus (lesser prairie-chicken), 2866 nucleotides. RefSeq lists it as uncharacterized. The transcript has 3 exons. The record is from RefSeq and is a predicted model, not a curated record. Lineage: Eukaryota; Metazoa; Chordata; Aves; Galliformes; Phasianidae.